RNAcentral lists this ribosomal RNA (400 nucleotides) under uncultured Glomeromycotina. RNAcentral's name for it is "SSU rRNA". It matches the Rfam family "Eukaryotic small subunit ribosomal RNA", at positions 670 to 1072 of the family's 1831-position model. Lineage: Eukaryota; Fungi; Glomeromycota. The record is from RNAcentral.
UCGGUAUGUACUGGCUUUACUGAUUCCUCCUUCUUGACGAACCGUGAUGUCAUUAAUUUGGUGUUGCGGGAAAUCAGGACUGUUACUUUGAAAAAAUUAGAGUGUUUAAAGCAGGCUAACGCUUGAAUACAUUAGCAUGGAAUAAUGAAAUAGGACGUUAAUCCUAUUUUGUUGGUUUCUAGGAUCGACGUAAUGAUUAAUAGGGAUAGUUGGGGGCAUUAGUAUUCAAUUGUCAGAGGUGAAAUUCUUGGAUUUAUUGAAGACUAACUACUGCGAAAGCAUUUGCCAAGGAUGUUUUCAUUAAUCAAGAACGAAAGUUAGGGGAUCGAAGACGAUCAGAUACCGUCGUAGUCUUAACCAUAAACUAUGCCAACUAGGGAUCGGAUGAUGUUAUUUUUAA